CCUACGGGAGGCAGCAGUGGGGAAUAUUGGGCAAUGGGCGCAAGCCUGACCCAGCAAUGCCGCGUGAAGGAAGAAGGCCUUCGGGUUGUAAACUUCUUUUUCAGGGGAAGAGCAGAAGACGGUACCCUGAAAACAAGCCACGGCUAACUACGUGCCAGCAGCCGCGGUAAUACGUAGGUGGCAAGCGAUUUCCGGAUUUACUGGGUGUAAAGGGCUUGUAGCGGGGAAGGCAAGUCAGAUGUGAAAUCUGGAGGCUCAACCUCCAAAUUGCAUUUGAAACUGUUUUUCUUGAGUAGUGGAGAGGCAGACGGAAUUCGUUGUGUAGCGGUGAAAUGCGUAGAUAUAAGGAGGAACACCGGUGGCGAAGGCAGUAUGCUGGACAGCAACUGACGGUGAGGCGCGAAAGCGUGGGGAGCAAACAGGAUUAGAUACCCCUGUAGUC
This 442-nucleotide ribosomal RNA is filed under the name uncultured bacterium. RNAcentral's name for it is "partial 16S ribosomal RNA". It matches the Rfam family "Bacterial small subunit ribosomal RNA", at positions 338 to 795 of the family's 1533-position model. The record is from RNAcentral.